This 429-nucleotide ribosomal RNA is filed under the name Bacillota bacterium. Its description in RNAcentral is "Firmicutes bacterium partial 16S ribosomal RNA". It matches the Rfam family "Bacterial small subunit ribosomal RNA", at positions 355 to 776 of the family's 1533-position model. Lineage: Bacteria; Bacillati; Bacillota. The record is from RNAcentral.
UAGGGAAUCUUCGGCAAUGGACGGAAGUCUGACCGAGCAACGCCGCGUGAGCGAAGAAGGUUUUCGGAUCGUAAAGCUCUGUUGUUAGAGAAGAACGUUGGUAGGAGUGGAAAAUCUACCAAGUGACGGUAACUAACCAGAAAGGGACGGCUAACUACGUGCCAGCCGCCGCGGUAAUACGUAGGUCCCGAGCGUUGUCCGGAUUUAUUGGGCGUAAAGCGAGCGCAGGCGGUUCUUUAAGUCUGAAGUUAAAGGCAGUGGCUUAACCAUUGUACGCUUUGGAAACUGGAGGACUUGAGUGCAGAAGGGGAGAGUGGAAUUCCAUGUGUAGCGGUGAAAUGCGUAGAUAUAUGGAGGAACACCGGUGGCGAAAGCGGCUCUCGGGUCUGUAACUGACGCUGAGGCUCGAAAGCGUAGGGAGCAAACAGG